AAGCCUCGGAUGGGACACGUCCAAUAAUUUCUCAUCAAAACUUUUCUAUCCUAGAAUCCGUUGCAAGAAAAUCUUCGAAGUCGUUCCGGGAAAAUGUCGGGUCGUGGAAAGGGAGGCAAGGGUUUGGGAAAGGGAGGAGCCAAGAGGCACAGGAAGGUACUAAGAGAUAAUAUUCAAGGCAUCACCAAGCCUGCAAUUCGUCGUUUGGCUCGCAGAGGUGGUGUGAAGAGGAUCAGUGGCUUGAUCUAUGAGGAAACUCGUGGAGUCCUGAAGAUCUUCUUGGAGAACGUGAUCCGUGAUGCUGUGACUUAUACUGAGCAUGCCAGGAGAAAGACAGUUACUGCGAUGGAUGUGGUUUAUGCGCUCAAGAGGCAGGGAAGGACUCUGUAUGGUUUUGGGGGUUAGGUUUUGUCUGUUUGUUUUCUGGCGGGGGUUUUAGGAUUGUAGUGUAUGGGAUUGUAGAUCUUUUCUCUAGAUCUGGUUUUUCUAGAGAUUAAAUUUGAAAUUACUGUAAUUGGCAUCUUUAUCUGAAGUAAUAGAAUCUAAUUUUCUGGGAGAAUUUUGAAAUUACUGUAAUUGGCAGUUCUUCUUGUCUUUGUUUUGUUGUUUGGAUACUUGUCGACUGUAGACCGUUGAGGAAAUGGUGGUAGAAGAUUUAUCAGAUCCUUCAUAAAUGGUCAUCAUAUUAAAACGAUUCAUUGUGCUUGUUUGCGCAUAAUAUAUGCGUCUUCUAACUAGGUUGUUCUGAAAGCAAUGUGUUUGUUGAAAUGACCUUUAGUUUGGAUGUUUGGAUUUCGUUUGCCUCGUGCAGUUAUAGAAGACAUAGAACUUUCAACUAUUUUGUGCCAGUUCAGUGUGUCAGAAU
RNAcentral lists this unclassified non-coding RNA (865 nucleotides) under Hevea brasiliensis (rubber tree). The record is from RNAcentral. Lineage: Eukaryota; Viridiplantae; Streptophyta; Magnoliopsida; Malpighiales; Euphorbiaceae.